This 433-nucleotide ribosomal RNA is filed under the name uncultured bacterium. RNAcentral describes it as "bacterial SSU rRNA". It matches the Rfam family "Bacterial small subunit ribosomal RNA", at positions 29 to 507 of the family's 1533-position model. The record is from RNAcentral.
AACGAACGCUGGCGGCAUGCCUAACACAUGCAAGUCGAACGAAGGCUUCGGCCUUAGUGGCGCACGGGUGCGUAACGCGUGGGAAUCUGCCCUUGGGUUCGGAAUAACUCAGAGAAAUUUGAGCUAAUACCGGAUGAUGACGUAAGUCCAAAGAUUUAUCGCCCAAGGAUGAGCCCGCGUAAGAUUAGCUAGUUGGUGGGGUAAAGGCCUACCAAGGCGACGAUCUUUAGCUGGUCUGAGAGGAUGAUCAGCCACACUGGGACUGAGACACGGCCCAGACUCCUACGGGAGGCAGCAGUGGGGAAUAUUGGACAAUGGGCGAAAGCCUGAUCCAGCAAUGCCGCGUGAGUGAUGAAGGCCUUAGGGUUGUAAAGCUCUUUUACCAGGGAUGAUAAUGACAGUACCUGGAGAAUAAGCUCCGGCUAACUCCGUG